UUUAGCUCUGCGCGAGAACUGGGAAAUUUAAUUGUGACCUCCAAUCUAAUCGACUCUGCUUUGACUAAAAUUCUUGAGCUUCAAAGAGACCAAACAGCCUUGCCUUCCCCCGUUCAAUACAGAGUUUUUUAUCCAUCUCCCAAGUGCACAAUUGUAGCUUUUGUCUCUUCACCUGACUGCACUCAAAACCCUCUUCCUGGACAAGGAGAUUUAGUUCCCUCUCCUCUCUUUGACUUCCUCUGCACCGAAGAAUACCCUUCCGUCUCCAUUAACGGAGCCGCAUUAACCCUCUUUACCUCUCUCUACGAUCAUCUCUCUGGACUAAUAGAUGAGGUCAAAAUCUGAUACUUGUUUUAAUUUACGUUAACUUUUCGUUAACAAUUGUGAGACACGAAACAGCUUGACCAUGAGAUCUCCCUCAUGGAGUCAAAACCCGUGUUGGUAUCUGUUUUUAGAUCAACUUAUAUAUAUAUAUAUAUAUAUAUAUAUAUAUCUUGUGGAUAAAAGGAAAGUUUACAAGUGAGAAUAGUGGCAUUUUUCUGACAGAUUUCACACCGUUGCUUGUUUUGCAGUUGACUGUGAUUGAAGGUCGAUUAAUCAUCACUGGGCACUCGAUGGGAGGAUCCGUUGCUUCUCUCUUCACCUUAUGCCUGCUAGAAGUCAUUAAUAUAUCAAAACCCAAAUGCCGCCCCAUUUGCAUCACCUUUGGUUCACCCCUCAUAGGCGACUUUGGCCUCCAACACUCCAAUUGGAAUUCUUUCUUCUUGCAUGUAGUGUCCAACCAAGAUCUAGUCCCCGGACUCUUCCUCCCAUCCGGCAGAUCUCCUCCCACAUCCUCCCAUUCACAAACUACUGGUUACAAGCCCUUUGGGACAUAUCUCUUGUGCUCUGAACUUGGUUGUGCUUGUUUUGACAACCCUGAUUUAAUUUUGGAAUUGCUGAAAGUCAUAUCAUCAGAGGUUGCCGGAGGAUUGCGGGAUGUUGAUUACAGGAAGAUUUUAAUAAACCUCAAGGAGAGGGCAAUCUUCAAGGGACUUCAGCAGGUGGGUGAAAGGUUUGCAGAUCCCUUGUCAGCUGGGAUCGUCAUGGACCUUGAGAUAAUUGGAUUUGAUCAAACAAAGGUAAACAGCUUUCUCCCAAUUAAUGAUGUAGUAUGGUUUACACUCAACUUCACCAAAACCUGCAACAACUGCCCUAUUUAGAUUUGCCUUCCUGUUCUUUGGGUUCUUCUAUAACUUCUCAUUUUUUAAAUUCAUGGCAGCUGUUGCGGCACAACAUUGAUAUCAACACUGUGAUAAGGAUACUGGGAGUGGAAGCCAGAAUCCUAGCCCACAAAAAUAAAGCUUCUGAUGCCAAGAAACUGAAUGACAUAAAAAUACACAUGGCCCAGCUAGAAUGGUAUAAGAAGAAAUCAAAAGAUCUGAACAAGGGUUACUACGACUGCUUCAAAAACCAGGGGUCAAAAAGGGACAUUAAAAUUGAACAGUAUAGGGGACACCUCACAAUAUACUGGAAAGACAUGGUUGCACAAGUACAGAGGAAGCCCCAGAAGGAAGGAGCAUCAUUUCGAACCAGUUGGCUCUAUCCAGGGACAACUUAUAGAAGAAUGGUUGAACCACUGGACAUUGCUGCCUUCUACAGAGAGGGUAGAACAGACUACAUAAACAAUGGAAGAUCUCCUCAUUACAAGCUGUUGCAGCAAUGGUAUGAGGAAGAUGUGAAGCCCCCAUCCAGAGAUAAGCUCGAUUCCAAGAAACUAAAGGUGUCUGGUAUCCUAACUGAGGAUUCUUUGUUUUGGGCACAUGUGGAGGAGGCUCUCUUGUCAUGCGAAUCGCUCAAGAGUGCAAACUCUACUCUUGAGCAGAGAAAAUCAUCAUGGGAUAAUCUGGUUAAGUUUGGGGAGUAUGUAAUGGAACAGAUUGGAAACUAUGCAGUGUCCCCUGAGAUUUUCUUGGGGGAAAGCAGCUUCAUGAAAUGGUGGGGAGUGUAUGAGGACUACAUAGAUGCUUCCAAUAAUUCCUAUGGGUCACCAUUGAUCAGCUUUAUGAAGAACCGUAGUUAUAGACUGUAUGGUUAGAGGGCAAUCCAGUUUGUGUAUUGUGUUUAUUGUAUUGUGAGCAUUCAAUAGAUAAAACUAGAAAGAGCGUGACCUUUUUAUGACAACUUUAGAAACCAGGGGUUAAAAGAGACAUUACAAACUGAAGUUUUUGAGAGGAAACCUCAAGAGUAUACUGGGAAGCCAUGGUGGAACAAGUAGAGAGGAAGCCUCAGAAGGAAGGAGCAAUGGUUGAACCACUUGACAUUGUUGCCUACUACAGGGAGGGUGUAAGAAACAACAUAACCGAGGGAAGAUCUGAACGUUAAACGUUGUCCAAUUAUUAUAAAUGUCUUAUACAUUACGUGUGAAAAUACCAAAAAAAAUUAUAUUCAACAUUUAUGUUUGUAUACAAGCAAUAUUUUGGAUAGUUUGAUAUAAAAAACAAAUGAAGAAAAUGAAGAAAAACAUACAAAUAUAUUUACAAUGGACAAACUUAUACAAUUAGUAUAAAUGUCUUGUAUAUUUAGUACAAAUGUCUCGUACUUUGUAAAAAUAUAAAAAUAUAGUAUUUGACUUUUAUAUAUGUGUGAAAAUGUAAAAAGAAAAAGAAAAAUAGUUAGAGCAUUUGGUACCGUGAGUGAUGACUUCACCUAAAGAAAGGUUAAUGAAUAUUAUGGUCUCGAUGGAAGAGCGACUCCGGUAAAAUAUAUGGAUUAAAUUGAUGCUUUUCUUUUGACGAUGAAGUAGUUGAGUUAUGAAUACGAGGUUUUGCUAACAGCAUUGAAGGCAAGGAUUCCCUAAUAUACUCCAAUUCAUAUUCAAUUUGUAGACCUUCAACUAACUACUCUUGCUAACGAGCAUAUCCAAGUCAAUACAUAAGAUUAAUUAAGAUUAAGUAUUACGUAUGAUAAUUGAAACCCUAUUUAAAUAAAUAAUGACACAUAUAUAAAAAAUAUAUAUAUUUUUAAAAAAAUAAAUAACAAUUUAGAGAAUUUCAUAACUUAGCAUCAAACCUAUUGUAAGAAAGAGUAUUAUACAAUGUAGGGUUUAGGAUCCAAGUCAACCUAAGAUCAAAUUUAAGUUUUAAGAUCAAUUCACAUUCAAAACUAAGGUUUUAAGUUUCAAAAAUAUAUUUCUUAAACCAAUUAAAUGGAAAAAAGAAAAUUACAAAGAAAAUUUCUCCCUCAUCAGUUUCUUUUAUCUUGAAAACUAAAGGAAAUAUAUAUCAAUAUUUGAGAUGGAAAUUCAUAAUCUUAGGUGGUGUUUGUUUUUUUGGCUUUUUGCUGAAAACUAUUUAGUUUUAGAAUUUAGGUUUUUUUUUUUUUUUACUUUUUCAUGACUUAUAAUAAACUUUUUACUAAAUAGAAAAAACCAAAAUAUGUGGUUUUUUCUAAAUAGAAAAAAUAACACAAUGGUUUUUUUUACUUUUUAAUACUUAAUAGAAAUAAAAUACUACAAAAACAAACAUCUUAAUAUUUAAUACUAUUAAGUAUUAAGGUUCUAUUUAGAAUUAAGUAAAAAAACAAACACCACCUUAGAAACACAAAGAACAAAGAGAGUAUGAAGAGACCAUACCAUGAGAGAUUUUCCGAAAGGUUGGUAAACCAUGGUAAUCACCUUUGAGUCUUGCUGAGAAAAACAAACCUUAUUUAUUUUUAUUUUUUUAUCAUUUUUUCUCUUGUGUGGUGUACAUUUAAGAAAAACAAAUCUCAAAAAAAAAAAAAAACACAAACCAAAUAAUGCCAGAAUUUGGGUUGAGAAACACCCAAAAGAUAGUGGCCCAAUACAUGUGCCUAAGAAAAUCUUCAUGAGCCGAUAAACAUAGUCACAAAACUAGUAACAGCCUUGUAGCCAUAGUUGGUGUAGUAUGAGCAAGUGGGGUAUGAAGUAGGUAGGUGAGUAUUGCAAUGAAAUUUCCAGCACUGCUUCCUGAAUUAAGAAAUCACAUACCCAAGUCUUAGUCGUCGUCGUCGUCGUACCGUGUGAGAACCGGGAAGAAUCUUUGCUCGUAGACUGGCUUUUGUAGUCUUUCUUUAACAAUUACAAGUUAUCUGAAUUCCCUUCAUCCUCCUAUAUAAUAUUGUUUUGGUCUUGUUCUUGUUGCAUUGUGGCUAGGCAUCUCCAUGGAAGGAAGGAGGAUGAAUCAAGUUCCUUUGUAUGAAUCAAUUUCUCUGCUCUUUUUUUUUUUCAAUCCUUGAAUCGAAUCAUUGCUUAGUUCUUGCUUUAAUUUCUCCAUUUUCUGUUGGGUCUUUGAUUGCAGGUUUAGCUCUGCAAGAGAACUGGGAAAUUUAAUUGUGACCUCCAAUCUAAUCGACUCUGCUUUGACUAAAAUUCUUGAGCUUCAAAGAGACCAAACAGCCUUGCUUUCCCCCGUUCAAUACAGAGUUUUUUUAUCCAUCUCCCAACUGCACAAUUGUAGCUUUUGUCUCUUCACCUGACUGCACUCAAAACCCUCUUCCUGGACAAGGAGAUUUAGUUCCCUCUCCUCUCUUUGACUUCCUCUGCACCGAAGAAUACAAGUCCGUCUCCAUUAACAGAGCUGCAUUAACCCUCUUUACCUCUCUCCACGAUCAUCUCUCUGGACUAAAAACUCAGGUCAAAAUAUGAUAGUUGUUUUUAUUUUCGUUUCCUUUUUGUUAACAAUUGUGAGACAUGAAACAGCUUGACCAUGAGAUCUCUCUCAUAGAGUCAAACUACCUGAAGAAGAAGAAGACGUUACACAUAUCCAUCUGCGUUGCAUCAUCGCAUUACCCAUUGAUCGGUUGUGAUUCAACUCUUAAUAGGAAGACAGUAGAACUGGUGUUGGUAUCUGUUUUUAGAUCAGCUUAUAUGUAUCUUGUUGCUAAAAAGGGAAUGUUUAGAAGUGAGAUUAAUGGGAUUAUUCUGACAUGGAUUUCAUAUGGUUACCUGUUUUGCAGUUGACUGUGAUUGAAGGUCAAUUAAUCAUCACUGGGCACUCCCUGGGAGGAGCCGUUGCUUCUCUCUUCACCUUAUGCCUGCUAGAUGAAAAUUUAUUAAAACCCAAAUGCCGCCCCUUUUGUAUCACCUUUGGUUCACCCCUCGUCGGCGGCUUUGGCCUCCAACACUCCAUAUGGAAUUCUUUCUUCCUGCAUGUAGUGUCUAACCAAGACCCAGUCCCCGGUCUCUUCCUCCCAUCUGGCAGAGGCAGAUCUACGCCCACAUCCUCCCAUUCACAAACUACCGGUUACAAGCCCUUUGGGACAUAUCUCUUGUGCUCUGAACUUGGUUGUGCUUGUUUUGACAACCCUGAUUUAAUUUUGGAAUUGCUGAAAGUCAUAUCAUCAGAGGUUGCCGGAGGAUUGCAGGAUGUUGAUUAUGGGGAGAUUUUAAGAAACCUCAAGGAGAGGGCAAUCUGCAAGGGACUUCCGCAGGUGGGUGAAAGGUUUGCAAAUCCAUUUUCAGCUGGGAUCAUCAUGGAACUUGAGACAAUUGGAUUUAAUCAAACAAAGGUAAACAGCUUUCUCCCAUCUAAUGAUGUUAUGGAACAUGGUUUACACCUCAUUAAAUACUGCAACAACUGCCCUAUUUAGAUUUACCUUCUUGUUCUUUGGGAUUUUCCAUAACUAGACUCAUUUUUUAAUUUCAUGGCAGCUGCUGCAGCAUAACAUUGAUAUCGAGACUGUGAUAAGCGCAAUGGAAGCGGAAGCAAGAAACCUAACCCAGAAAAAUAAAGCUUCCGAUGCCAAGAAACUGAAUGAAAUAAAAAUAGACAUGACCCGGCUAGAAUUGUAUAAGAAGAAUUCGAACAUGGGUUACUACGAUUGCUUCAAAAACCAGGGGUCUAAAAGGGACAUCCACGUUGAACAGUUUAGGGUAAACCUCACAGGGUACUGGGAAGGCAUGGUUGCACAAAUACAGAGGAAGCCUCAUAAGGAAGGAGCAACAUUUCGAACCCGUUGGCUCUAUGCAGGGACGGUUUAUAGAAGAAUGGUUGAACCACUGGACAUUGCUGCCUUCUACAGAGAGGGUAGAAAAGACUACAUGAAUAAAAGAUCUGCACAUUACAAGCUGUUGCAGGAAUGGUAUGAGGAAGAUGUGAAACCCCCCUCUAGAGAUAAGCUUGAUUCCAAGAAGCAAAAGGUGUCCAGUAUCCUAACUGAGGAUUCUUGCUUUUGGGCACAUGUGGAGGAGGCUAUCUUGUCAUGCGAAUUGCUCAAGAGUGAAAACUGUAAUCUUGAGGAGGGAAAAUCAUCAUGGGAUAAUCUGGUUAAGUUCGAGGAGUAUGUAAUGGAACAGAUUGACAACUAUGCAGUGUCCCCUGAGAUUUUCUUGGAGAAAAGCAGCUUCAUGAAAUGGAGGGGACUGUAUGAGGGCUACAUAGAUACUCGCAGUAAUUCCCAUAGCUCGCCAUUGAUCAGCUUUAUGAAGAAUCGUAGUUAUAGACAAUAUGGAUAGAGGGGUAAUCCAGUUUGUGUGUUGUGUGUAUUGUUUUGUGAGCAUUCAAUGGAUAGAACUAGAAAGAGUGUGACCUUUUCCUUUUUUUUUUCAGUUGCUGCCCAUAUUCUCAGCACUAUUUUCUUCCUUCUUUUCCUCAGUUUUUUUGUUAAGAAAUGAAUAUUAUGAUGUUGCCGGGAUGCACUUUCAUUUUUGUUCCAUUACAUUGUGUUUUAUUCAUAUCCUAAACAAAUAAAUGUAAACAAGAAAAUCAAAUGAGACUUCAAAGAGUCUGUUCCUUUUAAAGCAAGGGAAAAAAAGGACAUGUUUGUUUACUUCCACAGCUGGGUAGAUUCAACUCCACCAAAAUUGGCAACAACUUCCCAUUGAAAAAUUCCUUUUAAGCUUGAAUGACAUAAAACUAGAUAUGUUCCAGCUAGAAUGGUACAAGAAAGAAAUCAAAAGAUGAGCACAAUGGGUUAUUAUGACAGCUUUAGAAACCUGGGGUGUAAAAGAGACAUUAAAAUGGAACCGAGGGGAAGACAUUGUAGAACAAGUAAAGAGGAAGCCUCACCAGGAAGGGCAGCUUUGCAAACCCUCUGGCUCUGUACAGGAACGAAUUAUAGAAAGAUGGUUGAACCACUUGACAUUGCUGCCUACCACAGAGAGGGUGGAAGAAACUACAUAACCAAUGGAGGAUGUAAACAUUACACGCUAUUAGAGCAAUGAUGCAAUGAAGAGAAGGGGACUUUGUCUUCCAAUAAUUUAAGAAAAUAAAACCAAAUAAUGCCAGAAUUUGGGUUGAGAAACACCCAAAAGAUAGUGGCCCAAUAUGAAGUAGUCACAAAACUAGUAACAGCCUUGUGGCCAUAGUUGGUGUAGUAUGAGCAAGUGGGGUAUGAAGUAGGUAGGUGAGUAUUGCAAUGAAAUUUCCAGCACUGCUUCCUGAAUUAAGAAAUCACAUACUCAAGUCUUAAUCGUUGUCAUCAUACCGUGUGAGAACCGAGGAAGAAUCUUUGCUCUUAGACUGGAUUUUGUAGUCUUUCUUUAACAAUUACAAGUUAUCUGAAUUCCCUUCAUCCUCCUAUAUAAUAUUGUUUUUGGUCUUGUUCUUGUUGCAUUGUGGCUAGGCAUCUCCAUGGGAGGAAGGAGGAUGAAUCAAGUUCCUUUGUAUGAAUCAAUUUCUCUGCUCUUUUUUUUUUCAAUCCUUGAAUCGAAUCAUUGCUUAGUUCUUGCUUUAAUUUCUCCAUUUUCUGUUGGGUCUUUGAUUGCAGGUUUAGCUCUGCAAGAAAACUGGGAAAUUUAAUUGUGACCUCCAAUCUAAUCGACUCUGCUUUGACUAAAAUUCUUGAGCUUCAAAGAGACCAAACAGCCUUGCCUUCCCCCGUUCAAUACAGAGUUUUUUAUCCAUCUCCCAACUGCACAAUUGUAGCUUUUGUCUCUUCACCUGACUGCACUCAAAACCCUCUUCCUGGACAAGGAGAUUUAGUUCCCUCUCCUCUCUUUGACUUCCUCUGCACCGAAGAAUACAAGUCCGUCUCCAUUAACAGAGCUGCAUUAACCCUCUUUACCUCUCUCCACGAUCAUCUCUCUGGACUAAAAACUCAGGUCAAAAUAUGAUAGUUGUUUUUAUUUUCGUUUCCUUUUUGUUAACAAUUGGGAGACAUGAAACAGCUUGACCAUGAGAUCUCUCUCAUAGAGUCAAACUACCUGAAGAAGAAGAAGACGUUACACAUAUCCAUCUGCGCUGCAUCAUCGCAUUACCCAUUGAUCGGUUGUGAUUCAACUCUUAAUAGGAAGACAGUAGAACUGGUGUUGGUAUCUGUUUUUAGAUCAGCUUAUAUGUAUCUUGUUGCUAAAAAGGGAAUGUUUAGAAGUGAGAUUAAUGGGAUUAUUCUGACAUGGAUUUCAUAUGGUUACCUGUUUUGCAGUUGACUGUGAUUGAAGGUCGAUUAAUCAUUACUGGGUACUCGAUGGGAGGAUCCGUUGCUUCUCUCUUCACCUUAUGCCUGUUAGAAGUCAUCAAUUUAUCAAAACCCAAAUGCCGCCCCAUUUGUAUCACCUUUGGUUCACCCCUCAUAGGCGACUUUGGCCUCCAACACUCCAAUUGGAAUUCUUUCUUCUUGCAUGUAGUGUCCAACCAAGAUCUAGUCCCCGGACUCUUCCUCCCAUCCGACAGAUCUCCUCCCACAUCCUCCCAUUCACAAACUACUGGUUACAAGCCCUUUGGGACAUAUCUCUUGUGCUCUGAACUUGGUUGUGCUUGUUUUGACAACUCUGAUUUAAUUUUGGAAUUGCUGAAAGUCAUAUCAUCAGAGGUUGCCAGAGGAUUGCGGGAUGUUGAUUACAGGAAGAUUUUAAGAAACCUCAAGGAGAGGGCAAUCUGCAAGGGACUUCCGCAGGUGGGUGAAAGGUUUGCAAAUCCAUUUUCAGCUGGGAUCAUCAUGGAACUUGAGACGAUUGGAUUUAAUGAAACAAAGGUAAACAGCUUUCUCCCAUCUACUGAUGUUAUGGAACAUGGUUUACACAUCAUUAAAUACUGCAACAACUGCCCUAUUUAGAUUUAGGGCAAUGAUGAAAAUAUCAGUAAUCACGGAUAUAUCAGUAUUUCGAUUUUACGGAUAUAUCGGAUAUAUCGGAGAUAUAUCGGUAGAUAUUUUGAAAAAAAAUAUCGGCAAGCUUAAAAUUGUUAAAAACUCAUGAAAAUAUAAGAAAAUCUCAUAAUAAUAUAAUUAAAAGUAUAAUAGACAUUUUAAAGUUAUUUUAUUGAAAAUUUUGAUAUAUGUAUAACAUGAUUUAUCAUAUUUGAUAAUAAUAUCGUAUGCGUCGAUAAAAAUAUGAAUUUUAUAAGUGUACAUUUAUUAUUAAAUUACACCUAAUAUUAUGAUAUCUGAUUAUAAUAUGUCUAAUUUUAAAAUAUAUAUUAGUAUUAAAAUAUGAUCCAUUUAAUUCAAUUGUAUUAAACAAUAUAAAAUAAAUAAUGAUAUAUAUAUAUAUAUAUAUAAUUUUUUAAUAUUUAAUUAAUUAUUAAUGAUAUUAAAAACAUUAUGAAGAAAAUUAUAUAAUUUUUUAAUUUUUGGUAAUUAAUUAAAAGACUUUGCAUUUAAUUAUAAAUUAAUUAUAAUUAAUUUACUCUUUAAAAUAUUCUUAUAUUUUCUUUAUAUAAUGAAUUUAAGUAUAUAUAUAGUUGUUGCAUAUUAUAUAUUAAAGGACAACUUAGCCCAAGUGGUAAGCGAGUGAACCCCAAUGUGAGGCAUUGUAGCACGUGCACUGUAGCAUCACUGUAGCGACUCUGACUUUCGUUGACCCGCAUUGACUACACGAUAUAUCGGAGAAAAAUCACUGAUUUAUCGCCAAAUCACCAAUAAAUCGCCGAUUUCUCGCGAUAAAUACCAAAAUAUAGUGUCGAAACCCUUCGAUACACGAUUUUUCGGCGCAUUUUCUUACUUGGAUUUACCUUUUUGUUCUUUGGGAUCUUCCAUGACUCAUUUUUUAAUGCCAUUUUAUUUUCCUUUUUGUUUCUAAAUUUUUAAAAAAUCGUUUUCACUUCUUUUUUUUAAGAAAAUUUUGGCAAAUUUUGAAAAUAUAAUAUUAGUGUUUUCACUUCUUUCUUUUUUUUUUUUUUCUUUUUUUUUUUAAACUCAAUUUUCUAAAAAAUGAAAAUAGAAAAACAUUGUCUAAACAUGUUUGUAAACUUAAUUUUAUUUUUUUAUAAAUGAAAAAAAAAAUCUAAAUGAGUAAGGCUUUAUUAAUUUUAAUUUUUUUCUUUUCCUUAUAUUUUCUUAUUUUAUUCCAAAUUUUCUUGCAACCAAACAUAAUCUAAAUGUUUACAACUUUUAUUGUAAGGAAUGAAUGACACUACUUUGUGAACUUUUAUGAUAAUAUUUUGAAUCAUAAAUUGUGUUUUUUUUAGUAAUAUCAAUUUUAUUACCAAUGACUUAAUUGUUAAUAACAAAAUAUAAUAUUUAUAAAUAUUUUUAUUCUCAACAGGCUACAAUUUUUACUCUUGUGAUAAAAAAAAUUUUGUCAUAAAUUACACAUUAUGAUGAGUUUUUCUAUUUUCCUUAUCAGCCAAUUCAACAAAUAUCAUAUAUAUUGUAAUGGCUAACAAAUUUUCACAUAAAUUUUUUAUAAGAUAAAGUAGAAUGGAAUUAUUCAAUUUCAAAAAAAAAAAAAAUGGUACCUAAUGAAAAAGAUAAAAUAUAUAGAUCAUCUCGAAGAAAUCAGGAAAGAUAAAUGAUGAGACCAUAUAUAGGACCCUUGAUGGAGACUAUUUUAAUUGAAGUGGUGUGCUCCUUCCGACUCAGAACAUGUUCAGCAUUGCACACAAACUAACAUCGUCGAUCUUGAGUAUGAAAAAGGUGAUUAGAUUCCAAGGUUGUCGUUUGUCCCAACUCCUCAUAUUAGAGGUGAUGCUCAAGCUAACGUGCCUCGCAGUUGAGCCCCGGCCAAUCGGUCUAAUAUGCUUUUCCAAUGGUGAGUUUCACUGCCACCAUGUAUUACAUUAAUUCCGAUAGCGCACAAGUUGUGUUUGUGCUAUUGCUUUUUGCCCUCACAAACAUAUACACAAGAGACAUUCAGACCAGAUCUGUUCUACCAUCCUCUAGGAAAGCAUUGUAGGUCAUUUGAAAUUGGGAUUUCAGCACCAGAGUCAAAUUGCCUUCCUUCCUGAAAGAUGAGCAUUUUUUAUACUCUUACAUCGGCUUUUAUGGAAAUGAAAUCAGCUUCUCAUUCUGUUACAUUUUUCAAUUUUGCUGCCUAUAACUGCUCACUGCCUGUUUGUGAGACAUUAUCCAGAUUUUCCCUGAUCAAUUAUAGAGAGGUCAUUGGACUCAUCCAUGAUUGGAAUUUCCUGUUAUCAUUAUUUGCAAAUCAUCAACCAUUUGUCAUGAUAUCUUAAGUUAAGCUGAGCACGAAUUUCAGCUAAGAUCCUCAGAACUAGAAAUAUGCACUGCAGGUAUUACUUGAUAUGUGAAUAUCCAAUACAAUAUUUUUUUACUAAGAGGAAUACGAAUUUGAAACACUUUCCAAUAAUUUAUCAAGUCAUAUUUUCGUGCUGUCGUGAUACAUGUGUCUACUGUAUGCAUGGCUUUUCUUUUCUACACAUGCCUUUAUCUUUGCACAUGACUCUUUUGAUACACGCCAGCAUCAAGGCAAUUGCCUAAAUCUAAAUCACAUCCUUUGUGUCACGUCUUCCUUGUUACCACGGUCCUCUUGUACACCAUGGUCCCUUAAUGUAACUUGUGCCACAAGCCCUUUGUGCAUGAAUUCAAAUUGUUCAAUCAUUUCGCCAUUUACACCUUUUAAGGUCCAAUAAGCGUAUACAAGAGACUACACUCAUUCUAGAUGAUAAAGUACAUUCAACUAACUACUCUUGCUAAUGAGCAUAUCCAAGUCAAUACAUAAGAUUAAUUAUUACAUAUGGUAAUUGAAACCCUGUUUAAAUAAAUAGUGACACAAAUAUAAAAAAUAUAUAUAUUUAAAAAUAAAUAAAUAACAAUUUAGAGAAUUUCAUAACUUAGUAUCAAACCUAUUGUAGGAAAGAGUAUUAUACAAUGUAGGGUUUAGGAUCAAAGUUAACCUAAGAUCAAUUUUAAGUUUUAAGACCAAUUCAAAUUCAAAACUAAGGUUUUAAGUUUCAAAAAUAUAUCUCUUAAACCAAUUAAAUAGAAAAAAGAAAAUUACAAAGAAAAUUUCUUCCUCAUCGGUUUCUUUUAUCUUGAAAACUAAAGGAAAUAUAUAUCAAUAUUUGAGAUGGAAAUUCAUAAUCUUAGAAACACAAAGAACAAAGAGAGUAUGAAGAGACCAUACCAUGAGAGAUUUUCCAAAAGGUUGGUAAACCAUGGUAAUCACCUUUGAGUUUUGCUGAGAAAAACAAACCUUAAUUUUUAUUUUUAUUUUUUUAUCAUUUUUUCUCUUGUGGUGUACAUUUAAGAAAAACAAAUCUUAAAAAAAAAAAAAAAAAAACCAAAUAAUGCCAGAAUUUGGGUUGAGAAACACCCAAAAGAUAGUGGCCCAAUACAUGUGCCUAAGAAAAUCUUCAUGAGCCGAUAAACAUAGUCACAAAACUAGUAACAGCCUUGUAGCCAUAGUUGGUGUAGUAUGAGCAAGUGGGGUAUGAAGUAGGUAGGUGAGUAUUGCAAUGAAAUUUCCAGCACUGCUUCCUGAAUUAAGAAAUCACAUACCCAAGUCUUAGUCGUCGUCGUCGUACCGUGUGAGAACCGGGAAGAAUCUUUGCUCGUAGAGUGGCUUUUGUAGUCUUUCUUUAACAAUUACAAGUUAUCUGAAUUCCCUUCAUCCUCCUAUAUAAUAUUGUUUUUGGUCUUGUUCUUGUUGCAUUGUGGCUAGGCAUCUCCAUGGAAGGAAGGAGGAUGAAUCAAGUUCCUUUGUAUGAAUCAAUUUCUCUGCUCUUUUUCUUUUCAAUCCGUGAAUCGAAUCAUUGCUUAGUUCUUGCUUUAAUUUCUCCAUUUUCUGUUGGGUCUUUGACUGCAGGUUUAGCUCUGCAAGAGAACUGGGAAAUUUAAUGGUGACCUCCAAUCUAAUCGACUCUGCUUUGACUAAAAUUCUUGAGCUUCAAAGAGACCAAACAGCCUUGCUUUCCUCCGUUCAAUACAGAGUUUUUUAUCCAUCUCCCAAGUGCACAAUUGUAGCUUUUGUCUCUUCACCUGACUGCACUCAAAACCCUCUUCCUGGACAAGGAGAUUUAGUUCCGUCUCCUCUCUUUGACUUCCUCUGCACCGAAGAAUACAAGUCCGUCUCCAUUAACAGAGCUGCAUUAACCCUCUUUACCUCUUUCCACGAUCAUCUCUCUGGACUAAAAACUCAGGUCAAAAUAUGAUAGUUGUUUUUAUUUUCGUUUCCUUUUUGUUAACAAUUGUGAGACAUGAAACAGCUUGACCAUGAGAUCUCUCUCAUAGAGUCAAACUACCUGAAGAAGAAGAAGACGUUACACAUAUCCAUCUGCGUUGCAUCAUCGCAUUACCCAUUGAUCGGUUGUGAUUCAACUCUUAAUAGGAAGACAGUAGAACUGGUGUUGGUAUCUGUUUUUAGAUCAGCUUAUAUGUAUCUUGUUUCUAAAAAAGGUAAGUUUAGAAGUGAGAUUAAUGGGAUUAUUCUGACAUGGAUUCCAUAUGGUUACCUGUUUUGCAGUUGACUCAGAUUGAAGGUCAAUUAAUCAUCACUGGGCACUCCCUGGGAGGAUCCGUUGCUUCUCUCUUCACCUUAUGCCUGCUAGAUGGAAAUUUAUUAAAACCCAACUGCCGCCCCUUUUGUAUCACCUUUGGUUCACCCCUCAUCGGCGGCUUUGGCCUCCAACACUCCAUAUGGAAUUCUUUCUUCCUGCAUGUAGUGUCUAACCAAGACCCAGUCCCCGGUCUCUUCCUCCCAUCUGGCAGAGGCAGAUCUACGCCCACAUCCUCCCAUUCACAAACUACCGGUUACAAGCCCUUUGGGACAUAUCUCUUGUGCUCUGAACUUGGUUGUGCUUGUUUGGAAAAGCCUGAUUUAAUUUUGGGAUUGCUGAAAGUCAGAUCAUCCGAGGUUGCCGGAGGAUUGCAGGAUGUUGAUUAUGGGGAGAUUUUAAGAAACCUCAAGGAGAGGGCAAUCUGCAAGGGACUUCAGCAGGUGGGUGAAAGGUUUGCAGAUCCUUUUACAGCUGGGAUCAUCAUGGACCUUGAGAUAAUUGGAUUUGAUCAAACAAAGGUAAACAGCUAGCUUUCUCCCAUCUAAUGAUGUUAUGAAACAUGGUUUACACUUCACCAAAUACUGCAACAACUGCCCUAUUUAGAUUUGCCGUCUUGUUCUUUGGGAUCUUCCAUAACUAGACUCAUUUUUUAAUUUCAUGGCAGCUGCUGCAGCAUAACAUUGAUAUCGAGACUGUGAUAAGCACAAUGGAAGAGGAAGCCAGAAACCCAACCAAAAAAAAUAAAGCUUUCGAUGCCAAGAUUCUGAAUCACAAAAAAAAAGACAUGGCCGGGCUAGAAUGGUAUAAGAAGAAAUCAAAAGAUCUGAACAAGGGUUACUACGACUGCUUCAAAAACCAGGGGUCAAAAAGGGACAUUAAAAUUGAACAGUAUGGGGGACACCUCACAUUAUACUGGAAAGACAUGGUUGCACAAGUACAGAGGAAGCCCCAGAAGGAAGGAGCAACAUUUCGAACCCGUUGGCUCUAUGCAGGGACGGUUUAUAGAAGAAUGGUUGAACCACUGGACAUUGCUGCCUUCUACGUAGAGGGUGGAACAGACUACAUGAAGAAUGAAAGAUCUCUUCAUUACAAGCUGUUGCAGCAAUGGUAUGAGGAAGAUGUGAAACCCCCCUCUAAGGAUAAGCUUGAUUCCAAGAAGCAAAAGGUGUCUGGUAUCCUAACUGAGGAUUCUUGCUUUUGGGCACAUGUGGAGGAGGCUAUCUUGUCAUGCGAAUUGCUUAAGAGUGAAAACUGUACUCUUGAGCAGGAAAAAUCAUCAUGGGAUAAUCUGGUUAAGUUCGAGGAGUAUGUAAUGGAACAGAUUAACAACUAUGCAGUGUCCCCUGAGAUUUUCUUGGGGGAAAGCAGCUUCAUGAAAUGGUGGGGACUGUAUGAGGGCUACAUAUAUGCUCGCAGUAAUUCCCAUAGGUCACCAUUGAUCAGCUUUAUGAAGAACGGUAGUUAUACAGAGUAUCGUUAGAGGGGUAAUCCAGUUUGUGUGUUGUGUGUAUUGUUUUGUGAGCAUUCAAUGGAUAGAACUAGAAAGAGUGUGACCUUUUUCCUUUUUUUCUUCUAGUUGCUGCCCAUAUUCUCAGCACUAUUUUCUUCCUUCUUUUCCUCAGUUUUUUCUUAAGAAAUGAAUAUUAUGAUGUUGCUGGGAUGCACUUUCAUUUUUGUUCCAUUACAUUGUGUUUUAUUCAUAUCCUAAACAAAUAAAUGUAAACAAGAAAAUCAAAUAAGACUUCAAAGAGUCUGUUCCUUUUAAAGCAAGGGAAAAAAAGGACAUGUUUGUUUACUUCCACAGCUGGGUAGAUUCAACUCCACCAAAAUUGGCAACAACUUCCCAUUGAAAAAUUCCUUCUAAGCUUGAAUGACAUAAAACUAGAUAUGUUCCAGCUAGAAUGGUACAAAAAAGAAAUCAAAAGAUGAGCACAAUGGGUUAUUAUGACAGCUUUAGAAACCAUCUUACAACACAUCCAUCAGAAUUUAGACUAUUCAUAGAAACAUUCUUAACAUGUAAAUCUACUAUUGCCAUGCACGUCAACAUAGAAUUUCUAAAAUGAUUGAAUAAAAUAAAUAAAACAAAAGAAACCCUUCCAAGAGAAUUUCAUAAUCUAAUGUCAAAUCUAUUACGAAGAUGAACAUGUAAAAUUUAAGGUUUAUAAUCAAAGUCGACUUGAAUCUGAGUUUUAAAACCAAUUUGCAGUUUUUAAGUUUGGAGACUAGAUCUCUUAAACCAAUUAAAUGUAAAAAACUAAAAAGAAAACUUCUUCAAAUUUUGAAAUGAGAAUGAGAAUGCAAUUCCUAACUAGUUUCUUCAUCAAAAAUCCCGAAAAAAAAAAAAAAAGAAGAGAGAGAGAGACCAUAGACGCCAGUGUUUGGGUUUAGAACCACCCAAGAGAGAGUAGUCCAAUAUAUGGGCUUAAGAAAAUCCUCAUGGGCCUAAGCUAAGACUAGGAACAAUCUUGUAUCCGUGGUUGGUUUAGUAUGAGCAUGUGUACUGCGAAGGAAGUAGCUGAGAAUUGCAAUGGAAUUUCCAGUACUGCUUCCUGAACGAACAAAUCGCAUACCCAAGAUUUGGUCGUCAACGCCAUGCUGGGUGAGAACCGGGGAAGCAUCUUCGCUCGUUGACGAGCUUUUGUAGUCCUUCUUUAACAAUUAUAAGGCAUCUGAAUUCCCUUCAUCCUCCCACACCAUUGUUUUUGGUCUUGUUCUUGUUGCUUUGUGACUACGCAUCUCCAUGGAAGGAAGGAGGAUGAACCAAGUUCCUUUGUAUGCAUCAAUUUUACUGUUUUUUUUUUCCUUUUUAAUCUUUGGAUCGAAUCAUUGCUUAGUUCUUGCUUAAUUUCUCCAUUUUAUGUUGGGUCUUUGAUUGCAGGUUUAGCUCUGCGCGAGAACUGGGAAAUUUAAUUGUGACCUCCAAUCUAAUCGACUCUGCUUUGACUAAAAUUCUUGAGCUUCAAAGAGACCAAACAGCCUUGCCUUCCCCCGUUCAAUACAGAGUUUUUUAUCCAUCUCCCAAGUGCACAAUUGUAGCUUUUGUCUCUUCACCUGACUGCACUCAAAACCCUCUUCCUGGACAAGGAGAUUUAGUUCCCUCUCCUCUCUUUGACUUCCUCUGCACCGAAGAAUACCCUUCCGUCUCCAUUAACGGAGCCGCAUUAACCCUCUUUACCUCUCUCUACGAUCAUCUCUCUGGACUAAUAGAUGAGGUCAAAAUCUGAUACUUGUUUUAAUUUACGUUAACUUUUCGUUAACAAUUGUGAGACACGUAUAUAUAUAUAUAUAUAUAUAUAUCUUGUGGAUAAAAGGAAAGUUUACAAGUGAGAAUAGUGGCAUUUUUCUGACAGAUUUCACACCGUUGCUUGUUUUGCACUUGACUGUGAUUGAAGGUCGAUUAAUCAUCACUGGGCACUCGAUGGGAGGAUCCGUUGCUUCUCUCUUCACCUUAUGCCUGCUAGAAGUCAUUAAUAUAUCAAAACCCAAAUGCCGCCCCAUUUGCAUCACAUUUGGUUCACCCCUCAUAGGCGACUUUGGCUUCCAACACUCCAAUUGGAAUUCUUUCUUCUUGCAUGUAGUGUCCAACCAAGAUCUAGUCCCCGGACUCUUCCUCCCAUCCGGCAGAUCUCCUCCCACAUCCUCCCAUUCACAAACUACUGGUUACAAGCCCUUUGGGACAUAUCUCUUGUGCUCUGAACUUGGUUGUGCUUGUUUUGACAACCCUGAUUUAAUUUUGGAAUUGCUGAAAGUCAUAUCAUCAGAGGUUGCCGGAGGAUUGCGGGAUGUUGAUUACAGGAAGAUUUUAAUAAACCUCAAGGAGAGGGCAAUCUUCAAGGGACUUCAGCAGGUGGGUGAAAGGUUUGCAGAUCCCUUGUCAGCUGGGAUCAUCAUGGACCUUGAGAUAAUUGGAUUUGAUCAAACAAAGGUAAACAGCUUUCUCCCAAUUAAUGAUGUAGCAUGGUUUACACUCAACUUCACCAAAACCUGCAACAACUGCCCUAUUUAGAUUUGCCUUCCGGUUCUUUGGGUUCUUCUAUAACUUCUCAUUUUUUAAAUCCAUGGCAGCUGUUGCGGCACAACAUUGAUAUCAACACUGUGAUAAGGAUACUGGGAGCGGAAGCCAGAAUCCUAGCCCACAAAAAUAAAGCUUCUGAUGCCAAGAAACUGAAUGACAUAAAAAUACACAUGGCCCAGCUAGAAUGGUAUAAGAAGAAAUCAAAAGAUCUGAACAAGGGUUACUACGACUGCUUCAAAAACCAGGGGUUAAAAAGGGACAUUAAAAUUGAACAGUAUAGGGGACACCUCACAAUAUACUGGAAAGACAUGGUUGCACAAGUACAGAGGAAGCCCCAGAAGGAAGGAGCAUCAUUUCGAACCAGUUGGCUCUAUCCAGGGACAACUUAUAGAAGAAUGGUUGAACCACUGGACAUUGCUGCCUUCUACAGAGAGGGUAGAACAGACUACAUAAACAAUGGAAGAUCUCCUCAUUACAAGCUGUUGCAGCAAUGGUAUGAGGAAGAUGUGAAGCCCCCAUCCAGAGAUAAGCUCGAUUCCAAGAAACUAAAGGUGUCUGGUAUCCUAACUGAGGAUUCUUUGUUUUGGGCACAUGUGGAGGAGGCUCUCUUGUCAUGCGAAUCGCUCAAGAGUGCAAACUCUACUCUUGAGCAGAGAAAAUCAUCAUGGGAUAAUCUGGUUAAGUUUGGGGAGUAUGUAAUGGAACAGAUUGGAAACUAUGCAGUGUCCCCUGAGAUUUUCUUGGGGGAAAGCAGCUUCAUGAAAUGGUGGGGAGUGUAUGAGGACUACAUAGAUGCUUCCAAUAAUUUCUAUGGGUCACCAUUGAUCAACUUUAUGAAGGACCGUAGUUAUAGACUGUAUGGUUAGAGGGCAAUCCAGUUUGUGUAUUGUGUUUAUUGUAUUGUGAGCAUUCAAUAGAUAAAACUAGAAAGAGCGUGACCUUUUUAUGACAACUUUAGAAACCAGGGGUUAAAAGAGACAUUACAAAUUGAAUUUUUUGAGAGGAAACCUCAAGAGUAUACUGGGAAGCCAUGGUGGAACAAGUAGAGAGGAAGCUUCGGAAGGAAGGAUCAAUGGUUGAACCACUUGACAUUGUUGCCUACUUCAGGGAGGGUGUAAGAAACAACAUAACCGAGGGAAGAUCUGAACAUUAAACAUUGUACAAUUAUUGUAAAUGUCUUAUACAUUACGUGUGAAAAUACCAAAAAAAAUUAUAUUCAACAUUUAUGUUUGUAUACAAGCAAUAUUUUGGAUAGUUUGAUAUAAAAAACAAAUGAAGAAAACGAAGAAAAACAUACAAAUAUAUUUACAAUGGACAAACUUAUACAAUUAGUGUAAAUGUCUUGUAUAUUUAGUACAAAAGUCUCGUACUUUGUAAAAAUAUAAAAAUAUAGUAUUUGACUUUUAUAUAUGUGUGAAAAUGUAAAAGGAAAAAGAAAAAUAGUUAGAGCAUUUGGUACCGUGAGUGAUGACUUCACCUAAAGAAAGGUUAAUGAAUAUUAUGGUCUCGAUGGAAGAGCGACUCCGGUAAAAUAUAUGGAUUAAAUUGAUGCUUUUCUUUUGACGAUGAAGUAGUUGAGUUAUGAAUACGAGGUUUUGCUAACAACAUUGAAGGCAAGGAUUCCCUAAUAUACUCCAAUUCAUAUUCAAUUUGUAGACCUUCAACUAACUACUCUUGCUAAUGAGCAUAUCCAAGUGAAUACAUAAGAUUAAUUAUUACAUAUGAUAAUUGAAACCCUGUUUAAAUAAAUAGUGACACAAAUAUAAAAAAUAUAUAUAUUUAAAAAUAAAUAAAUAAUAAUUUAGAGAAUUUCAUAACUUAGCAUCAAACCUAUUGUAGGAAAGAGUAUUAUACAAUGUAGGGUUUAGGAUCAAAGUUAACCUAAGAUCAAAUUUAAGUCUUAAGACCAAUUCACAUUCAAAACUAAGGUUUUAAAUUUCAAAAAUAUAUCUCUUAAACCAAUUAAAUGGAAAAAAGAAAAUUACAAAGAAAAUUUCUUCCUCAUCGGUUUCUUUUAUCUUGAAAACUAAAGGAAAUAUAUAUCAAUAUUUGAGAUGGAAAUUCAUAAUCUUAGAAACACAAAGAACAAAGAGAGUAUGAAGAGACCAUACCAUGAGAGAUUUUCCAAAAGGUUGGUAAACCAUGGUAAUCACCUUUGAGUUUUGCUGAGAAAAACAAACCUUAAUUUUUAUUUUUAUUUUUUUAUCAUUUUUUCUCUUGUGGUGUACAUUUAAGAAAAACAAAUCUUAAAAAAAAAAAAAAAAAAACCAAAUAAUGCCAGAAUUUGGGUUGAGAAACACCCAAAAGAUAGUGGCCCAAUACAUGUGCCUAAGAAAAUCUUCAUGAGCCGAUAAACAUAGUCACAAAACUAGGAACAGCCUUGUAGCCAUAGUUGGUGUAGUAUGAGCAAGUGGGGUAUGAAGUAGGUAGGUGAGUAUUGCAAUGAAAUUUCCAGCACUGCUUCCUGAAUUAAGAAAUCACAUACUCAAGUCUUAAUCGUUGUCAUCAUACCGUGUGAGAACCGAGGAAGAAUCUUUGCUCUUAGACUGGAUUUUGUAGUCUUUCUUUAACAAUUACAAGUUAUCUGAAUUCCCUUCAUCCUCCUAUAUAAUAUUGUUUUUGGUCUUGUUCUUGUUGCAUUGUGGCUAGGCAUCUCCAUGGGAGGAAGGAGGAUGAAUCAAGUUCCUUUGUAUGAAUCAAUUUCUCUGCUCUUUUUUUUUUCAAUCCUUGAAUCGAAUCAUUGCUUAGUUCUUGCUUUAAUUUCUCCAUUUUCUGUUGGGUCUUUGAUUGCAGGUUUAGCUCUGCAAGAAAACUGGGAAAUUUAAUUGUGACCUCCAAUCUAAUCGACUCUGCUUUGACUAAAAUUCUUGAGCUUCAAAGAGACCAAACAGCCUUGCCUUCCCCCGUUCAAUACAGAGUUUUUUAUCCAUCUCCCAAGUGCACAAUUGUAGCUUUUGUCUCUUCACCUGACUGCACUCAAAACCCUCUUCCUGGACAAGGAGAUUUAGUUCCCUCUCCUCUCUUUGACUUCCUCUGCACCGAAGAAUACAAGUCCGUCUCCAUUAACAGAGCUGCAUUAACCCUCUUUACCUCUCUCCACGAUCAUCUCUCUGGACUAAAAACUCAGGUCAAAAUAUGAUAGUUGUUUUUAUUUUCGUUUCCUUUUUGUUAACAAUUGUGAGACAUGAAACAGCUUGACCAUGAGAUCUCUCUCAUAGAGUCAAACUACCUGAAGAAGAAGAAGACGUUACACAUAUCCAUCUGCGCUGCAUCAUCGCAUUACCCAUUGAUCGGUUGUGAUUCAACUCUUAAUAGGAAGACAGUAGAACUGGUGUUGGUAUCUGUUUUUAGAUCAGCUUAUAUGUAUCUUGUUGCUAAAAAGGGAAAGUUUAGAAGUGAGAUUAAUGGGAUUAUUCUGACAUGGAUUUCAUAUGGUUACCUGUUUUGCAGUUGACUGUGAUUGAAGGU
RNAcentral lists this long non-coding RNA (21099 nucleotides) under Vitis vinifera (wine grape). Its description in RNAcentral is "long non-coding RNA (VVIN_LNC004863)". Lineage: Eukaryota; Viridiplantae; Streptophyta; Magnoliopsida; Vitales; Vitaceae. The record is from RNAcentral.